GACGAACGCUGGCGGCGUGCUUAACACAUGCAAGUCGAACGGAAAGGCCCUGCUUGCAGGGUACUCGAGUGGCGAACGGGUGAGUAACACGUGGGUGAUCUGCCCCGCACUUCGGGAUAAGCCUGGGAAACUGGGUCUAAUACCGGAUAGGAGCCAUUUUUAGUGUGAUGGUUGGAAAGUUUUUUCGGUGUAGGAUGAGCUCGCGGCCUAUCAGCUUGUUGGUGGGGUAAUGGCCUACCAAGGCGGCGACGGGUAGCCGGCCUGAGAGGGUGGACGGCCACAUUGGGACUGAGAUACGGCCCAGACUCCUACGGGAGGCAGCAGUGGGGAAUAUUGCACAAUGGGCGCAAGCCUGAUGCAGCGACGCCGCGUGGGGGAUGACGGCCUUCGGGUUGGAAACUCCUUUCGCUAGGGACGAAGCUUUUUGUGACGGUACCUAGAUAAGAAGCACCGGCUAACUACGUG
RNAcentral lists this ribosomal RNA (465 nucleotides) under uncultured bacterium. RNAcentral describes it as "partial 16S ribosomal RNA". It matches the Rfam family "Bacterial small subunit ribosomal RNA", at positions 28 to 507 of the family's 1533-position model. The record is from RNAcentral.